AACGCACAUUGCGCCCGCCAGCAUUCUGGCGGGCAUGCCUGUCCGAGCGUCAUUUCAACCAUCAAGCCCCGGGCUUGUGUUGGGGACCUGCGUCCGACGCAGGCCCUGAAAACCAGUGGCGGGCUCGCUGUCCACGCCGAGCGUAGUAACUCACCUCGCUGCGGAGUGGCGCGGGCGCCUGCCGUGAAACCCCCGACCCCCCCAAAGGUUGACCUCGGAUCAGGUAGGAAUACCCGCUGAACUUAA
RNAcentral lists this unclassified non-coding RNA (246 nucleotides) under uncultured Sordariales. RNAcentral's name for it is "sequence contains 5.8S rRNA gene, ITS2, 28S rRNA gene". Lineage: Eukaryota; Fungi; Ascomycota; Sordariomycetes; Sordariales. The record is from RNAcentral.